Molecule: non-coding RNA, 115 nt
Organism: Triticum aestivum (bread wheat)
Lineage: Eukaryota; Viridiplantae; Streptophyta; Magnoliopsida; Poales; Poaceae
Source: Rfam
AUAGUACUUCCUCUGUUCAAAAUUACUUGUCGCAAAAAUAGAUGUAUCUAGAUGUAUUUUAGUUCUAGAUACAUCUAUUUUCGAGACAAGUAAUUCCGAACGGAGGGAGUAAGAG